This is a small nuclear RNA of Artibeus jamaicensis (Jamaican fruit-eating bat), 171 nucleotides long. RefSeq annotates it as U1 spliceosomal RNA. The transcript has a single exon. NCBI's taxonomy places the organism in Eukaryota, Metazoa, Chordata, Mammalia, Chiroptera, Phyllostomidae. The record is from RefSeq and is a predicted model, not a curated record.
ACACUUACCUGGCAGAGGAGAUACUAUGGUCAUGAAGGAGGAAGGUGGUUUUCCCAGGGCAAGGCUUAUCCAUUACACUCUACUGUGCUGAUCCCUGCGAUUUCCCCAAAUGUGGGAAACUUGAAUGCAUAAUUUUGUGGUAGCGAGGGACUGCAUUCAUGCUAUCCCCUG